UGGGGAAUUUUGGACAAUGGGGGAAACCCUGAUCCAGCCAUCCCGCGUGUGCGAUGAAGGCCUUCGGGUUGUAAAGCACUUUUGGCAGGAAAGAAACGUCGUGGGUUAAUACCCCGCGAAACUGACGGUACCUGCAGAAUAAGCACCGGCUAACUACGUGCCAGCAGCCGCGGUAAUACGUAGGGUGCAAGCGUUAAUCGGAAUUACUGGGCGUAAAGCGUGCGCAGGCGGUUCGGAAAGAAAGAUGUGAAAUCCCAGAGCUUAACUUUGGAACUGCAUUUUUAACUACCGGGCUAGAGUGUGUCAGAGGGAGGUGGAAUUCCGCGUGUAGCAGUGAAAUGCGUAGAUAUGCGGAGGAACACCGAUGGCGAAGGCAGCCUCCUGGGAUAACACUGACGCUCAUGCACGAAAGCGUGGGGAGCAAACAGGAUUAGAUACCCUGGUAGUCCACGCCCUAAACGAUGUCAACUAGCUGUUGGGGUCUUCGGACCUUGGUAGCGCAGCUAACGCGUGAAGUUGACCGCCUGGGGAGUACGGUCGC
RNAcentral lists this ribosomal RNA (541 nucleotides) under uncultured bacterium. Its description in RNAcentral is "partial 16S ribosomal RNA". It matches the Rfam family "Bacterial small subunit ribosomal RNA", at positions 355 to 889 of the family's 1533-position model. The record is from RNAcentral.